CCCACUGUCAAGCAAUAAGCCAUCAGCUAUUUUUCAUCGUUUUUUUAUAUAUAUAUGGCCAUCAAGGCGCAGAAUCUGCACACACUAUAGUGCUCAGCUCAUAUUGGUAUUUAAUAGGCAUCCUCCGAUGAACCAGUCGGUGAAAUGCAAGAAUGCAUCUUGGAGGAAGAGGACGCAGAGGCACCACUGAUCCCACAACAGGACGUAACGUGCAGAAGGAAGACGCGGCCGCUGCUGUCCCCACUGGAGCAGAGAGGACGUGAGCCUUUGAUGUUCCACUCAAAAUUAUUAAUUCCCCGCAUCAGGUUCUGUGUUUCAUCUACAUUUAAAGUCCAAAUCUUGAGUUUGAGCAAAGCUUCUGCUAUGCAAAUCAGCGCCUAAUGUGCAUGCUGGGUUUGCUGGGGAUGUUUAAUGUAUUUUUUUUUUUUUUUUGAGAAAAUUAAUGACAUCUGCGUCAGUUGAUAUUGAUCUAAAAUCUAGAUAGACGCUCCCCGCUGUGCGUCAGAUGAGCUUCAUGUCUUAGCGUGGCCUUCACAUCACUAGGACAAA
This is a long non-coding RNA of Onychostoma macrolepis, 549 nucleotides long. RefSeq lists it as uncharacterized. The record is from RefSeq and is a predicted model, not a curated record. The transcript has 3 exons. Lineage: Eukaryota; Metazoa; Chordata; Actinopteri; Cypriniformes; Cyprinidae.